This 78-nucleotide transfer RNA is filed under the name Candidatus Heimdallarchaeota archaeon. Its description in RNAcentral is "tRNA-Ile". It matches the Rfam family "tRNA". Rfam says of the family: Transfer RNA (tRNA) molecules are approximately 80 nucleotides in length. Their secondary structure includes four short double-helical elements and three loops (D, anti-codon, and T loops). The record is from RNAcentral. Lineage: Archaea; Promethearchaeati; Candidatus Heimdallarchaeota.
GGGCCUAUGACGCAGCUUGGUUAGCGUGCUCGGCUGAUAACCGGGAAUGCGGCGGUUCAAAUCCGCCUAGGCCCACCA